GUCCAGACUCCUACGGGAGGCAGCAGUGGGGAAUAUUGCGCAAUGGGCGGAAGCCUGACGCAGCGACGCUGCGUGAGGGAUGAAGGUCUUCGGAUCGUAAACCUCUGUCAGGAGGGAAGAAGUGGUUAUAUGCGAAUAGUGUAUGACUUUGACGGUACCUCCAAAGGAAGCACCGGCUAACUCCGUGCCAGCAGCCGCGGUAAUACGGAGGGUGCGAGCGUUAAUCGGAAUUACUGGGCGUAAAGCGCUCGUAGGCGGUAUGUCAAGUCAAGGGUGAAAUCCCCGCGCUCAACGUGGGAACUGCCUUUGAAACUGGCAAACUGGAGUGUGUGAGAGGAUAGUGGAAUUCCAGGUGUAGGAGUGAAAUCCGUAGAUAUCUGGAGGAACAUCAGUGGCGAAGGCGACUAUCUGGCACAUAACUGACGCUGAGGAGCGAAAGCGUGGGUAGCAAACAGGAUUAGAUACCCUAGUAUCU
This 475-nucleotide ribosomal RNA is filed under the name uncultured bacterium. Its description in RNAcentral is "bacterial SSU rRNA". It matches the Rfam family "Bacterial small subunit ribosomal RNA", at positions 329 to 795 of the family's 1533-position model. The record is from RNAcentral.